RNAcentral lists this ribosomal RNA (524 nucleotides) under uncultured bacterium. Its description in RNAcentral is "partial 16S ribosomal RNA". It matches the Rfam family "Bacterial small subunit ribosomal RNA", at positions 28 to 523 of the family's 1533-position model. The record is from RNAcentral.
GACGAACGCUGGCGGCGUGCUUGACACAUGCAAGUCGAACGGACAGACAGAGAGCUUGCUCUCUUGAAGUUAGUGGCGAACGGGUGAGUAACGCGUAAUCAACCCGCCCUUCAGAGGGGGAUAACAACGGGAAACCGUUGCUAAUACCGCGUACGAUUCAUGAACGGCAUCGUUUAUGAAUGAAAGGUGGCCUCUAUGUAUAAGCUAUCGCUGAAGGAGGGGAUUGCGUCUGAUUAGCUAGUUGGAGGGGUAACGGCCAACCAAGGCAAUGAUCAGUAGCCGGUCUGAGAGGAUGAACGGCCACAUUGGGACUGAGACACGGCCCAAACUCCUACGGGAGGCAGCAGUGGGGAAUCUUCCGCAAUGGACGAAAGUCUGACGGAGCAACGCCGCGUGAGUGAUGAAGGUCUUCGGAUUGUAAAGCUCUGUUAAUCGGGACGAAAGAGUUCUGCGUGAAUAAUGCAGAAAAGUGACGGUACCGGAAUAGAAAGCCACGGCUAACUACGUGCCAGCCGCCGCCGUAA